UGGGGAAUUUUGGACAAUGGGCGAAAGCCUGAUCCAGCAAUGCCGCGUGUGUGAAGAAGGCCUUCGGGUUGUAAAGCACUUUUGUCCGGAAAGAAAUCCUUGGCUCUAAUACAGUCGGGGGAUGACGGUACCGGAAGAAUAAGCACCGGCUAACUACGUGCCAGCAGCCGCGGUAAUACGUAGGGUGCAAGCGUUAAUCGGAAUUACUGGGCGUAAAGCGUGCGCAGGCGGUUUGCUAAGACCGAUGUGAAAUCCCCGGGCUCAACCUGGGAACUGCAUUGGUGACUGGCAGGCUAGAGUAUGGCAGAGGGGGGUAGAAUUCCACGUGUAGCAGUGAAAUGCGUAGAGAUGUGGAGGAAUACCGAUGGCGAAGGCAGCCCCCUGGGCCAAUACUGACGCUCAUGCACGAAAGCGUGGGGAGCAAACAGGAUUAGAUACCCUGGUAGUCCACGCCCUAAACGAUGUCAACUAGUUGUUGGGGAUUCAUUUCCUUAGUAACGUAGCUAACACGUGAAGUUGACCGCCUGGGGGAGUACGGUCGCAAGAUUAAAACUUAAAUGAAUUGACGGGGUCAUAGCUGUUUCCU
This 586-nucleotide ribosomal RNA is filed under the name uncultured bacterium. Its description in RNAcentral is "partial 16S ribosomal RNA". It matches the Rfam family "Bacterial small subunit ribosomal RNA", at positions 355 to 1375 of the family's 1533-position model. The record is from RNAcentral.